RNAcentral lists this ribosomal RNA (274 nucleotides) under uncultured bacterium. Its description in RNAcentral is "partial 16S ribosomal RNA". It matches the Rfam family "Bacterial small subunit ribosomal RNA", at positions 523 to 796 of the family's 1533-position model. The record is from RNAcentral.
AUACAGAGGGUGCGAGCGUUAAUCGGAAUUACUGGGCGUAAAGCGCGCGUAGGCGGCUUGGUCAGUCGGAUGUGAAAGCCCUGGGCUCAACCUGGGAAUUGCAUUCGAUACUGCCAAGCUAGAGUAUGGGAGAGGGAAGUGGAAUUUCCGGUGUAGCGGUGAAAUGCGUAGAUAUCGGAAAGAACACCAGUGGCGAAGGCGACUGCCUGGCCCAAUACUGACGCUGAGGUGCGAAAGCGUGGGGAGCGAACAGGAUUAGAAACCCUAGUAGUCC